GACGAGGGAUGCAAGCGUUAUCCGGAUUCAUUGGGUUUAAAGGGAGCGUAGGUGGCCUUAUAAGUCAGUGGUGAAAUCUCUGGGCUUAACCCAGAAAUUGCCAUUGAUACUGUAGGGCUUGAGUAUAGAUGCCGUUGGCGGAAUAUGACAUGUAGUGGUGAAAUACAUAGAGAUGUCAUAGAACACCGAUUGCGAAGGCAGCUAACGAAACUAUAACUGACACUGAGGCUCGAAAGUGUGGGGAUCAAACAGG
This 253-nucleotide ribosomal RNA is filed under the name uncultured bacterium. Its description in RNAcentral is "partial 16S ribosomal RNA". It matches the Rfam family "Bacterial small subunit ribosomal RNA", at positions 524 to 776 of the family's 1533-position model. The record is from RNAcentral.